GCAGAGGGAUCUUCAGGCAAAGAUUCCUGACAUAGAGAAAUGCUUGGAUAUAGUUGCUACUUUGCAAGCUAAGAAGGACAGCAGUGAGGCACUAGUCGCUGAUUUUGAAGUGUCAGAAGGUAUUUAUUCCCGGGCUAAGAUUGAAGAUGCUGAAUCUGUGUGUUUAUGGCUAGGGGCAAAUGUCAUGCUACAGUAUUCAUGCGAAGAGGCUACUGCCCUUCUUCAAACAAACUUGGAAAAUGCAAAAGCCAGUUUAGAGGUUCUUGUGGCUGAUCUACAAUUUUUGAGGGAUCAAGUGACAAUUACUCAGGUCACAACUGCUCGUGUAUACAACUGGGAUGUUCAUCAACGUAGAGUUCGACAAGCUACCACUCCCAAAGAAUCAUGAGACACAUGACAUUGCAUCACAGAGUACGGUUCAUAUCUUUUUGGUUAAUUUUUGAACUGCUGUUACAAAAAUUAUGAAUUUGUUUGGUUUUGCCAUCGUUAGUGAGUUAAAUCUUUGCAUCAAGUUUAGCAAUUUUUACUUUAUUUUGUGAGCUAAGAGACAAAGAGUAUCUGACCUGUUAUCAUGUUUGUUUUGUUGUUUCCUAAAUACAAUAUAUAGUAGCCAGCCGCAUGUACUGGUUUUGAGUU
Molecule: unclassified non-coding RNA, 636 nt
Filed under: Hevea brasiliensis (rubber tree)
Lineage: Eukaryota; Viridiplantae; Streptophyta; Magnoliopsida; Malpighiales; Euphorbiaceae
Source: RNAcentral